RNAcentral lists this ribosomal RNA (231 nucleotides) under Foraminifera environmental sample. RNAcentral's name for it is "partial small subunit ribosomal RNA". The record is from RNAcentral. Lineage: Eukaryota; Foraminifera.
CGGUCACGUUCGUUGCCUUCAUUUAUAGAGUGCGUGUAAUAGCUCUCUAAUUAAAAUCUGAAACGCAAUUAAGCAGACAGAUCACUCCACGAACUAAGAACGGCCAUGCACCACCUAUCACAUAAUUAUGAAAGAACUAGCGUAUUUUUUGUAAAUUUGUCUGUCAAUCCUCAGUGUGUACGGACCCGGUAAGAUUUCCCGCGUUGGGUCAAAUUAAGCCACAUGCUCCAC